UACGUAGGGGGCUAGCGUUGUCCGGAUUUAUUGGGCGUAAAGAGCGUGUAGGCGGCCAGGUAGGUCUGCUGUGAAAACUCGAGGCUCAACCUCGAGACGUCGGCGGAAACCAUCUGGCUAGAGUCCGGAAGAGGAGAGUGGAAUUCCUGGUGUAGCGGUGAAAUGCGCCAGAUAUCGGAAGGAACGCCGGUGGCGAAAGCGAACGUGCUGGACCUCUUCUGACGCUGAGGCGCGAAAGCCCAGGGGAGCAAAACGGGG
RNAcentral lists this ribosomal RNA (258 nucleotides) under uncultured bacterium. RNAcentral describes it as "partial 16S ribosomal RNA". It matches the Rfam family "Bacterial small subunit ribosomal RNA", at positions 524 to 778 of the family's 1533-position model. The record is from RNAcentral.